This 139-nucleotide ribosomal RNA is filed under the name uncultured eukaryote. RNAcentral describes it as "partial 18S ribosomal RNA". It matches the Rfam family "Eukaryotic small subunit ribosomal RNA", at positions 1299 to 1458 of the family's 1831-position model. The record is from RNAcentral.
UGGUGGAGUGAUUUGUCUGGUUAAUUCCGUUAACGAACGAGACCUCAGCCUGCUAACUAGUUAUGCGAAUAUUUAUUCGUAGCGAUACUUCUUAGAGGGACUAUUUGUGUUUAAUGAAUGGAAGUUUGAGGCAAUAACA